GACGAACGCUGGCGGCGUGCCUAAUACAUGCAAGUGGGACGCAAGGGAACACACUGUGCUUGCACACCGUGUUUUCUUGAGUCGCGAACGGGUGAGUAACGCGUAGGUAACCUGCCUAUUAGCGGGGGAUAACUAUUGGAAACGAUAGCUAAUACCGCAUAAUAUUAAUUAUUGCAUGAUAAUUGAUUGAAAGAUGCAAGCGCAUCACUAGUAGAUGGACCUGCGUUGUAUUAGCUAGUUGGUAAGGUAAGAGCUUACCAAGGCGACGAUACAUAGCCGACCUGAGAGGGUGAUCGGCCACACUGGGACUGAGACACGGCCCAGACUCCUACGGGAGGCAGCAGUAGGGAAUCUUCGGCAAUGGACGAAAGUCUGACCGAGCAACGCCGCGUGAGUGAAGAAGGUUUUCGGAUCGUAAAGCUCUGUUGUAAGUCAAGAACGUGUGUGAGAGUGGAAAGUUCACACAGGACGUAG
RNAcentral lists this ribosomal RNA (474 nucleotides) under Streptococcus mutans. Its description in RNAcentral is "bacterial SSU rRNA". It matches the Rfam family "Bacterial small subunit ribosomal RNA", at positions 28 to 478 of the family's 1533-position model. Lineage: Bacteria; Bacillati; Bacillota; Bacilli; Lactobacillales; Streptococcaceae. The record is from RNAcentral.